UGGCUCAGUGGUAGAGCGCAUGCCUUGAAUGCAUGAGGCCCUGGGUUCGAUUCCUCAG
Molecule: transfer RNA, 58 nt
Filed under: Dipodomys ordii (Ord's kangaroo rat)
Lineage: Eukaryota; Metazoa; Chordata; Mammalia; Rodentia; Heteromyidae
Rfam family: tRNA
About the family: Transfer RNA (tRNA) molecules are approximately 80 nucleotides in length. Their secondary structure includes four short double-helical elements and three loops (D, anti-codon, and T loops).
Source: Rfam by way of RNAcentral